This 440-nucleotide ribosomal RNA is filed under the name uncultured bacterium. Its description in RNAcentral is "partial 16S ribosomal RNA". It matches the Rfam family "Bacterial small subunit ribosomal RNA", at positions 338 to 795 of the family's 1533-position model. The record is from RNAcentral.
CCUACGGGAGGCAGCAGUAGGGAAUAUUGCUCAAUGGGGGAAACCCUGAAGCAGCAACGCCGCGUGGAGGAUGAAGGUUUUCGGAUUGUAAACUCCUUUUGUUAGAGGAGAUAAUGACGGUAUCUAACGAAUAAGCACCGGCUAACUCCGGGCCAGCAGCCGCGGUAAUACGGAGGGUGCAAGCGUUACUCGGACUCACUGGGCGUAAAGGGCGCGUAGGCGGGAUAGCAAGUCAGAUGUGAAAUCCUAUGGCUUAACCAUAGAACUGCAUUUGAAACUGUUAUUCUAGAGUAUGGGAGAGGUAGGUGGAAUUCUUGGUGUAGGGGUAAAAUCCGUAGAGAUCAAGAGGAAUACUCAUGGCGAAGGCGACCUGCUAGAACAUAACUGACGCUGAUGCGCGAAAGCGUGGGGAGCAAACAGGAUUAGAUACCCCUGUAGUC